RNAcentral lists this unclassified non-coding RNA (345 nucleotides) under soil metagenome. RNAcentral's name for it is "partial contains 5.8S ribosomal RNA, internal transcribed spacer 2, and large subunit ribosomal RNA". The stretch from base 1 to 120 matches the Rfam family "5.8S ribosomal RNA", at positions 35 to 154 of the family's 154-position model. The record is from RNAcentral.
GAUGAAGAACGUAGUGAAAUGCGAUACGUAAUGUGAAUUGCAGAAUUCAGUGAAUCAUCGAGUCUUUGAACGCACAUUGCGCCCCCUGGUAUUCCGGGGGGCAUGCCUGUCCGAGCGUCAUUGCUGCCCUCAAGCACGACUUGUGUGUUGGGCCUCCGUCCUCCUCCCGGGGGACGGGCCCGAAAGGCAGCGGCGGCACCGCGUCCGGUCCUCGAGCGUAUGGGGCUUCGUCACCCGCUCUUGUAGGCCCGGCCGGCGCUUGCCGACACAUCAAUCUUUUUUCCAGGUUGACCUCGGAUCAGGUAGGGAUACCCGCUGAACUUAAGCAUAUCAAUAAGCGGAGGA